Molecule: ribosomal RNA, 211 nt
Filed under: uncultured bacterium
Lineage: Bacteria
Description: partial 16S ribosomal RNA
Rfam family: Bacterial small subunit ribosomal RNA
Source: RNAcentral
UACGGAGGGUGCGAGCGUUGUCCGGAAUCAUUGGGCGUAAAGGGCGCGUAGGUGGCCCGGUCAGUUCGUGGUGAAAGCGCGGGGCUCAACCCUGCGUCGGCCAUGAAUACUGCCGCGGCUGGAGCACUGUAGAGGCAGGCGGAAUUCCGGGGUGUAGCGGUGGAAUGCGUAGAGAUCCGGAAGAACACCGGUGGCGAAGGCGGCCUGCUGG